Tribolium madens (black flour beetle) is the source of this 3048-nucleotide RNA transcript. It is a transcript of the gene named neprilysin-1, with no coding region annotated. Lineage: Eukaryota; Metazoa; Arthropoda; Insecta; Coleoptera; Tenebrionidae. The record is from RefSeq and is a predicted model, not a curated record. The transcript is spliced from 14 exons.
CUGACGCAGUUUAGGUGCUCUUGGCGAAACUAAAUCGAUAAAGACGCGGCGGUCGUGCUUCACACUCGAUGAUUUGCUGCCGAGGGGUAUAGAUUUUCCGACUGCUUUUUAGCUUUUUAUUUAUGCUGAAACGGGGAAAUUUGGGGGCAAAGACGUCCGAAAAGACAUAGGGGAGAAAUUAGACUUUAUUUUGUGUUGGUGGUUUGGGACACGUGUCUCGGAGUUUUUUCGUUUAAAAAAUAAUUCGACUGAGCAAAAUUUGGGCUUUGAUAAGCAAAAAAAUGAUUUUUAAUCAGUCGCCCUAUACGUAGCUUGGGCCUCCAUGACUUAAGCUCCGUCCCCCGAUGCAUAAAUCAGCCCCCCCUGACUGUAAUGGACCAAUCCAAAUGAGUGAAGUGUCUAUGAUAGACAAUAAAGCGUGGAAAUGUUCGGAGGCGAACAACGGCUACCUAAAGCAAAAAAGCGUUCCUGAAGAGUCGCUCCUCGGCUCCACCGCCGUGACGACCGUCGUCCAAGUCUCCGGGACCGGAACCAAGACCAUGGUGGUGCCCCGGAACAAACAAGCCAAAGACAAAUGCCUUGUAGCGGCCGUUUUCGCACUCAUCAUUUUCUCUCUAGUCUUACUUUUCAUGGUGUUCAGCACUCGCACCCACCAAUGUAUCGAUAGCAGAAGUAGUGUUUGUCUUACGGAGGAAUGCGUGAGGACAGCGGCGUCCCUUUUGGGCGCCAUGGACCACACGGCGGACCCUUGCGUGGACUUUUUCCAAUACGCCUGCGGCACGUGGAACAAGAAGCACGUGAUCCCUGAAGACCGUAGUUCAAUCAGCACGUUCGAAGUAAUGGCAGACCAGCUCCAGGUCAUCCUCAAAGGCGUCCUCGAGGAGCCCAUUAACCUCGAAGACAACGAGGCCACACGCAAGGCCAAAACCUUCUACAACACGUGCAUGGAUAUUCUCCAGAUUCGGAAAAUUGGAGAUGCUCCACUCCGGSAGGUUCURGACGGACUAGGAGGCUGGCCAGUGACCCGACCUGACUGGACUCCCCCCAKCUUCUCCAUCGAGGUGCUUCUCGGGAGGAUUAGGGGGGUGUACAAUGAGGGGGUUCUCAUCGAGCAGUGGGUCGGUCCGGAUGACAAGAACAGCUCAGUUAACAUCAUCCAGAUGGACCAAAUGCAGUUGGCGUUGCCCAGUCGAGACUACUAUCUCAAAGCAAGUAGCGAGGGCGACAUGACUGCUUAUCACAAGUAUAUGACGAAUAUUGCUGUUCUUCUUGGUGCCAAUAAAACAACAGCUAAGGAGGAACUACAAGAAGUUGUCGAUUUUGAAAGAAGAUUGGCGAAUGCCUCGUUACCGGAAGCUGACCGCCAUGACACUUCCGCCAUCUACCGAAAAUUAACUCUACAAGAGUUACAAACGAUCGUCCCUCAAAUCAAGUGGUUGGAAUACCUCCGAUCCUUCCUCGAUGUCGACAUCGAUGACCAAGAACCCGUCGUUGCUUACGGACUUUCCUAUUUCAUCGAAAUGGGAAAAAUCCUCGCCGAGACAAACCAAAGAGUUAUCCACAAUUAUGUCUUGUGGCGUCUCAUUAUGUCCCUGUCACCUCACAUGAUUGACGAUUAUCAGAAAGAACGCGUCGAAUUUAGAAAAAUCCUCCAAGGAGUGCUCAGUGAGAGGCAUCGAUGGUCCCAAUGCGUCGAAUGGACCAAUAAAAAACUCGGAAUGGCUGUUGGAGCACUUUUCAUCAGAGACAACUUCAAUCACGAUAGCAAAGAAACUGCACUUACGAUGAUACAUACGAUUCGAGAGGCGUUUAACGAGUUGUUGGCUGAGAAUGAUUGGAUGGAUGACGAAACGAGGGCCGUGGCCAAGGAAAAAGCAGACGCUAUGAACGAGAGGAUUGGAUAUCCGCAGUUGAUCACCAACAAACAGGAGUUGGUCAAGGAGUACUCCUCGUUGAAUAUCACCAAAACUGAGUUCAUGACGAACGUUUUGAAUAUUUUAAAAUACGAUGCGGAGCAAAAUCUGCAAAAAUUGAGACAGUCGGUCGAUAAAGACAAAUGGUCGACGGAACCGGCGGUCGUUAACGCCUUCUACAACCCGAACAAGAACGAUAUUGUGUUUCCUGCCGGUAUCCUGCAACCGCUGUUCUACAGUCAGCAUUUCCCCAAAUCUCUGAAUUACGGCGGAAUUGGAGUGGUCAUAGGUCAUGAAAUAACGCACGGGUUCGACGAUAAAGGCCGGCAGUUUGAUAAGGAUGGAAAUAUGAUGCAAUGGUGGAACAACGCGACGAUCCGGGCUUUCCGGGAGCGCACCCAAUGCAUAAUUGACCAGUAUUCGCGAUACAAAAUUGAUGAAGUGGGGCUCUACGUCAACGGGCGCAUGACCCAAGGCGAGAACAUCGCCGACAACGGCGGACUGAAGCAGUCAUUCCGGGCAUACCGUAAGUGGGUGUCCCAGCACGGGGAAGAGCCCGACUUGCCGGGCUUGAACCUGACCCACGACCAGCUGUUUUUCCUCAACUACGCCCAAAUCUGGUGCGGGUCCAUGCGCCCGGAGGACGCCCUGACCAAAGUCCGGUCCAGCGUCCACUCACCCGGACCCAUCCGGGUGUUGGGCCCUCUCUCCAACUCGUGGGAUUUCGCCAAAGCUUACGAUUGUCCGCUCGGUUCGCCGAUGAACCCGACUAACAAAUGUAGCGUUUGGUAAAAUUGGACUUUUCACGCGCUCUAUGUCAAGUGUCUCGUUGUAUUUGCUAAAUUUAACACWUUCGUCUAUAUUAUCGGGCCUUUGUAGCGGGGCCCCACACCUAACUUGUGCAAUGUAAAUAUUAUUGUUUUAUAUAAAAGUGUACGCAAUUUUACAUGUAAUAAACCUACUUUCCUAUUCUAAACAUGGUCUGUACUAAUAUACAAAAUACCAACACGAGCUUCUAUCACCCGAAAAACUGUCAAUCAAGUAAAAGCACUGAUUUCCUUCAUUUAUAAUACGUGCACAAAACAUUGAAUUUUGUAUUCAUAAUUAAUAAAAUAAGUCAAAUGUCGCCUUUGAG